Triticum aestivum (bread wheat) is the source of this 115-nucleotide non-coding RNA. NCBI's taxonomy places the organism in Eukaryota, Viridiplantae, Streptophyta, Magnoliopsida, Poales, Poaceae. The record is from Rfam.
UAUGUACUCCCUCCGUUCCAAAUUACUUAUCGCAGAUAUGGAUGUAUCUAGAUGUAUUUUAGUUCUAGAUACAUCCAUUUCUGCGACGAGUAAUUUGGAACGGAGGGAGUACAUC